RNAcentral lists this unclassified non-coding RNA (231 nucleotides) under plant metagenome. RNAcentral describes it as "partial contains small subunit ribosomal RNA, internal transcribed spacer 1, and 5.8S ribosomal RNA". The record is from RNAcentral.
UCUCCGUUGGUGAACCAGCGGAGGGAUCAUUACUGAGUUACCGCUCUACAACCCUCUGUGAACAUACCUAACUGUUGCUUCGGCGGGCAGAGGUCCCUCGCGGAUCUCUCCCGGCAACGCCCUCACGGGCGGAGCGCCCGCCGGAGGAUACCAAACUCUAUUUUAACGACGUUUCUUCUGAGUGGCACAAGCAAAUAAUUAAAACUUUUAACAACGGAUCUCUUGGUUCUG